Molecule: non-coding RNA, 255 nt
Organism: Cinara cedri
Lineage: Eukaryota; Metazoa; Arthropoda; Insecta; Hemiptera; Aphididae
Source: the annotation of a GenBank genome assembly
UGUGCAGAUUAUUAUUAUGAUUAUUUAAGUGAUGAUUAUUCUUAUUUUGAUAACGCUGAUUUUUAUUAUCAUGUUUUUUUUUUUUGCUUAUUAUAAUUGUGCUGCUGAUCAUUAUUAAUAUUUAAAUAAUGAUUAUUCUUAUUUUGUUAACGCUGAUUCUUAUUAUCAUGUUUUUUUUUUGAUGCUUAUUAUGCUGCUGCUGAUCAUUAAUAUUAUUUAAGUUAUGAUUAUUCUUAUUCUGAUAACGCUGAUUAU